This is a long non-coding RNA of Pipra filicauda (Wire-tailed manakin), 2814 nucleotides long. RefSeq lists it as uncharacterized. NCBI's taxonomy places the organism in Eukaryota, Metazoa, Chordata, Aves, Passeriformes, Pipridae. The transcript is spliced from 5 exons. The record is from RefSeq and is a predicted model, not a curated record.
GGCAAUGGAGUGGUACGAGAUCUGCCCUGGCACGGCUGUGUCUGUCACACACCCACUGCAGGCAGCCCUGCCUGUACCUGCCGGGACAUGCAGCAGGUGAGAGUGAGUCCUGUAGGCUCGUGCCACCUCCCAGCCCCAUCUGUGUGUACAGCAGGUGCUUCAGGCUCUUUUCCAGCAGAAAGCCACCUCGUUUUCCCGGGUUAGGCAUCCUGCAGCACGACAGGAAAACUGUUCCAAGUGCCCAUCCAGUACGAGAUGCUCGAGGACAGAAUGUCACUUGAAUGAGCUACUCCCUACACUAAGCAGAAGGUGACUGGACAAUUUACAUCUGCACACUUAUCAAAAGGAAGGCUGAAGAAUCAUAUUUAUUGGGUUCUCCACAGCCACAGGCCUGUGUUUAGUCCCAUGGUGCAGGAGGACCACAAGUGGAAGCACAGCCUGGUGAGCCCAGCAAGCAGAUCCUAACCCUGAGACACAGAUGUGCUGGACAGGAGAGCCCUGCCCUGCCCAACACUGUGGCAACAAAGGUGUUGAUCAGUACAGACACCUGACCACCUGAGAGGUCAGAAGGUCACUCAGCCUGACCAAAGUGACCCAACCCCUGCCCAGUGCACCCCCAAACACGAGGAAAACGGGGCUGGAACUGCCCAACCCCUCGGAGCCUGGAAUGAAGGAGCCAUAAAAUCCCUUCCCAGCGUCCCACUGAGCGGAGCUGCUUUGCCACCACGUUGGUUCUCCAGGCUGAUGCUCCAGCAGCACUGCAGAUUCCCAAACAGCAACACCAACCUCCUGAACUGGAUGGAGAACGUGGAAUUUGAUGCUACAGAGUCACUCAGAGGUACCAGGCUCUGGCUGUGACUCUGAACAGCUCCCUGAGUGCCCGUGGAGAGCAGACCAGUGUGGGACUGGGCUCUAGAAACCCUCACAGGCUUUUCCUCUGCACAUCCCACCAGCAGUUUGCACUGCACAUCUUCCUGCCUCCAGCCCUGGAAGGAUGUGCCACACUCCAGCGUGGGAGAACAGAGGAUCUGCAGCUGGGUAAGGUUGGUUGUGUUGCUUUUCCAGGGAGUUGCAGUGAUGGCUUUGGAAAAAACUGCUGCACUUCUGCUCCUGGCUCUGGCCCCUUGCACAGCAGUUACUGUGCUUGGAUUACAUUUGUAUUGCCAGGUAGGGGAAGAGAGAGGAAAAUAUGUCCUGCUUUUGCACUUAUGUCACUUAUUCAUUUAUAUAUAGACUCCAUCUUUGCAGUGUUAGUUACUCAUGUUGUUUUAUAUGGACCAAAGAGUUACUUGGAGAGGAGAGAGUUAAACAACAAGAAAUGGGCUGUAAAACUAAUUUCUUCAGACUCUGAGUCGCUCCCUGUCAGCAAGUGUGUUUGUGCUUUUACUUCUGUGCAGUAAAGCCCAGAUGAACCUUUCCAUACCAGAUGAGCCUUCCAUUCCCAAGGCUGUGGGACAGCAGUGCUUGGUGGAAGCUGUCCUGUGUGUGUGUGUACACAUAUCCUGAGCUGUCAUGAUCCACAGGGAUCUCCUGAGCCAUCAGAAGGUGCCUGCCAGCCCAUUCCACAGCAUAUUACUAUUUUAAAUGUGUUUGGAACACAUAUUUUGGAAACACCCUUUCUUAUUUUACUUUUAUUUCAUAGAGGAAAAACCCGAAAGAUGCCUGCAAAGUGUUUUAGCUUGUAAUUUAUCCCUGCAGAACUGGGAGUGCAGCUCACUUAAUCCAUAAAUACCUUUUAUGUCAAUAGGUUAAAAAAACCCCUAAAAUAUUCCCCUGCACAGAAAGCAGCUUAAUCUCAAACCCUUCACUGCAGGUCCUGGUCAGGAAUCCCAGGAAGGCAAGCAUUCCAUGGAGCCUGGAGCAGGCUCAGCCUGGCCUGGGCACAGCCAUCAAUUAUGGGACACAGGGACAGGCCUGACCUCCCGCCCCACGAGGGGCUGAUCACACGCUGGGCUUGGUUAAAAACAGAAUUACACUGCAAUUACCAGGCCUGUGUUAAUGGUUAAUUUGAAUUACUCUGUCCAGGUCUCUCCUGGCCAUUAACUCCCAGGGCUGCUCCUGAGCAGCUCCGUGGGGAGUGAGUCCUGUAAAGGUGUUUGUGGAAGUGCUACAGAACAGACACUGCAGAGUGAACUGAGGAGAAGGAAGUGCCCUGAGUGAGGGGCUGGGAUUUCUGGCUGCAGGGUUUGGUCACAGAACUCAGAACCUUUCAUCUGCCCCCAUCCCAGCCUGCAGUAACCAGGGCCAGCCCCGGCCCUUCCCUCUGGAGGGGGAGCUGCACCAUCAGCACAAAGUGCUGUGGUCUGAGCUCACAAAACAGGGUCAGCACUUCUGAGGCUGAGGCAGGAGCCCCUUCUCCCUCACACUCUGGGCUCAGCUGCCACUGAGGCAUUUUGGCAGAGGCUGUCAGGAGAAUACAGCCAGGACACUGUCCUUCCAGGGGGUGACACUGCCACCAUUUAGCCAGUCGUGUUCAGGGAGUGGGAAUUCCUGUCUCAGGACACCCCAUCCACAGGUGGGAAUGCUGGGCUCUGGCACAGGCUGGAUGAGCAGCACCAGUCAGGGGGAGUGUCUGGGUUGUACCUACACCUCCUCUCAGUACCUGCUCUGCACUUCCUCUCCUACCACAUUUACAGUCUCCCCUGAGACUUUAAAGCCACCACUGAUAGUCCAGAUCCACAUCCAAGGAAAUUACUCAGAUCACUAACCCAGAACUUUUAAAUGCAGGGGGUUCUCUGUUUCUGGUAUAAAAGUUGGGCUGUUUCUGUAAUAAAAUACUGUAUUAUUUAAUAAAGAAGUAAUAUGCUACUGCUU